Molecule: ribosomal RNA, 531 nt
Filed under: Bruchidius pygmaeus
Lineage: Eukaryota; Metazoa; Arthropoda; Insecta; Coleoptera; Chrysomelidae
Description: partial 16S ribosomal RNA
Rfam family: Bacterial large subunit ribosomal RNA
Source: RNAcentral
UCAAAAACAUGUCUUAUUGUAAAUAAUUUUAAGUCUAGCCUGCCCCCUGAGUUGAUUAAAUGGCCGCGGUAUUUUGACCGUGCUAAGGUAGCAUAAUCAUUAGUUUCUUAAUUAGAAGCUGGAAUGAAUGGUUGGAUGAAAAAGUGACUGUCUCUAUUAAAAUAGAUUAAAAUUUUAUUUUUUAGUAAAAAAGCUAAAAUUUUUUUGAAAGACGAGAAGACCCUAUAGAGUUUAAUAUAGAUUUUUUAUUAAUAUUUAUUAGAAUAUAAAUUUUUAAUUUUAUAAUAUAUUUGAUUGGGGUGAUUAAAAAAUUUAAUAAACUUUUUUUAUUAAAAUACAUUAAUUUAUGAGUAUUUGAUCCGUAAAUUACGAUUAUAAGAUUAAAUUACCUUAGGGAUAACAGCGUAAUGUUUUCAGAGAGUUCUUAUCGAAGAGAAAGAUUGCGACCUCGAUGUUGGAUUAAAAUAAAUAAUUGGUGUAGAAGCUAAUAUUAUUAGGUCUGUUCGACCUUUAAAAUUUUACAUGAUCUGA